Molecule: ribosomal RNA, 445 nt
Filed under: uncultured bacterium
Lineage: Bacteria
Description: partial 16S ribosomal RNA
Rfam family: Bacterial small subunit ribosomal RNA
Source: RNAcentral
GUGAGGAAUAUUGGUCAAUGGGCGGGAGCCUGAACCAGCCAAGUCGCGUGAAGGAAGAAGGAUCUAUGGUUCGUAAACUUCUUUUGCAGGGGAAUAAAGUGCAGGACGUGUCCUGUUUUGUAUGUACCCUGAGAAUAAGGAUCGGCUAACUCCGUGCCAGCAGCCGCGGUAAUACGGAGGAUCCGAGCGUUAUCCGGAUUUAUUGGGUUUAAAGGGUGCGUAGGUUGUUUGAUAAGUCAGCGGUGAAAGUUUGCAGCUUAACUGUAAAAAUGCCGUUGAAACUGUCGGACUUGAGUGUAAAUGAGGUAGGCGGAAUGCGUGGUGUAGCGGUGAAAUGCAUAGAUAUCACGCAGAACUCCGAUUGCGAAGGCAGCUUACUAAGCUACAACUGACACUGAAGCACGAAAGCGUGGGGAUCAAACAGGAUUAGAAACCCCAGUAGUCC